This 28-nucleotide non-coding RNA is filed under the name Cricetulus griseus (Chinese hamster). Lineage: Eukaryota; Metazoa; Chordata; Mammalia; Rodentia; Cricetidae. The record is from RNAcentral.
CUGGGGAGAGGACUAUGAGUUUUAGGGG